UUUAAUUCGAAGCAACGCGAAGAACCUUACCAAAUCUUGACAUCCCUCUGACCGGGACUUAACCGUCCCUUUUCUUCGGGACAGGGGAGACAGGUGGUGCAUGGUUGUCGACAGCUCGUGUCGUGAGAUGUUGGGUUAAGUCCCGCAACGAGCGCAACCCCUAUCCUUAGUAGCCAGCGGUCCGGCCGGGCACUCUGAGGAGACUGCCAGGGAUAACCUGGUGGAAGGCGGGGAUGACGUCAAAUCAUCAUGCCCCUUAUGAUUUGGGCUACACACGUGCUACAAUGGCGUAAACAAAGGGAAGCGAACCUGUGAGGGUGGGCAAAUCUCAAAAAUAACGUCCCAGUUCGGACUGCAGUCUGCAACUCGACUGCACGAAGCUGGAAUCGCUAGUAAUCGCGGAUCAGAAUGCCGCGGUGAAUACGUUCCCGGGUCUUGUACACACCGCCCGUCACACCAUGGGAGUCAGUAACGCCCGAAGUCAGUGACCUAACCGCAAGGGAGGAGCUGCGAAGGCGGGACCGAUGACUGGGGAGAAGUCGCAACAAGGAACCGUAASCUCACAAUCGAACUCCCCCGCGC
This 582-nucleotide ribosomal RNA is filed under the name uncultured bacterium. RNAcentral's name for it is "bacterial SSU rRNA". It matches the Rfam family "Bacterial small subunit ribosomal RNA", at positions 945 to 1533 of the family's 1533-position model. The record is from RNAcentral.